RNAcentral lists this ribosomal RNA (253 nucleotides) under uncultured bacterium. RNAcentral describes it as "partial 16S ribosomal RNA". It matches the Rfam family "Bacterial small subunit ribosomal RNA", at positions 524 to 776 of the family's 1533-position model. The record is from RNAcentral.
UACGUAGGUGGCAAGCGUUGUCCGGAAUUACUGGGCGUAAAGCGCACGCAGGUGGCUGAGUCAGUCGAUUGUGAAAGCCCUGGGCUUAACCUGGGAAUUGCAGUCGAUACUACUCAGCUAGAGUAUGGGAGAGGGUAGUGGAAUUCCCGGUGUAGCGGUGAAAUGCGUAGAUAUCGGGAGGAACAUCAGUGGCGAAGGCGGCUACCUGGCCCAAUACUGACACUCAGGUGCGACAGCGUGGGGAGCAAACAGG